RNAcentral lists this transfer RNA (76 nucleotides) under Caudoviricetes sp. Its description in RNAcentral is "tRNA-Ile". It matches the Rfam family "tRNA". From Rfam's summary of the family: Transfer RNA (tRNA) molecules are approximately 80 nucleotides in length. Their secondary structure includes four short double-helical elements and three loops (D, anti-codon, and T loops). Further hydrogen bonds mediate the characteristic L-shaped molecular structure. tRNAs have two regions of fundamental functional importance: the anti-codon, which is responsible for specific mRNA codon recognition, and the 3' end, to which the tRNAs corresponding amino acid is attached (by aminoacyl-tRNA synthetases). tRNAs cope with the degeneracy of the genetic code in two manners: having more than one tRNA (with a specific anti-codon) for a particular amino acid; and 'wobble' base-pairing, i.e. permitting non-standard base-pairing at the 3rd anti-codon position. The record is from RNAcentral. Lineage: Duplodnaviria; Heunggongvirae; Uroviricota; Caudoviricetes.
GGGGACGUAGCUCAAUUGGUGAGAGCGCCGAGUUUAUGUCUUGGAAGAUGUGUAGGUUCAAGUCCUUCCGUCCCUA